UGUUUGCAUUUUUAAUGGAGAAGAAAUUAAGACAACUGGGGAAAUGUGUAUAAGAAUUGGAUAUCAGAUGUUACUAAGGAAUUAGUUUAUUAUUGUAGGUAUGAUCAUAACAUUGUACUUAAAUCUCUAUAUUCCUAAGGAUGUAAGUAAAAUACUGCAGGUGAAAAGUGUCUGAGAUUUGCUUUAAAAGAUUUCAGUGAAUGGAAGCAACGAUGACACCAGGUAGCAGAAACUUAAUAAUUACUGACCAGAAUCCAUGUAAUGAGCACAGUGGAGUCUGUACGUUAUUCCCUGCAAACUCUAAUAUGUGCUUGCAAUUUUCAGGAAAUGAAACUAUUUCUGCUUCGAGUCUCAAGGCAUUGGCCAGGGCCGUUCUCAUCUGGAGGCUUCACCUGAAGACUGCUUUGCGACUCGAGACUCCAUUGGGAGAUGGCUGCCGUCCUUUUCUUGUGGCUGUAUGACCAGGGCUCCCAGCUGCUUACCAGAUAUUGGGUGGAAGACGCUGGGUCUUGAAGUCCCUGCUGUCCCCUGCCAUGAGGCUCUGUCUGCUGGCAUUUACCAUCAUAGCUGCUUCUUUAGAAGCAUCCUCAUCUAGAGCCUUGGACAGCAGGCAAUGAUGGGAGUGACAGCCACUAAGGUUUGCCGUACCCUGCAUGCUGACAGCAGGCCUCGGGUCCCUCAUGUUUGAGAGGAGACUGUAACACCGGGCGUGGAGAGCAUGGGCCAACUUGGAAUUCUGUCAACCACAGACAGCUCGUAAAGACUCCAUGGGGCUUGGGAGGAGAUCACGGAUUUGAAGGCAGGAAAUCCGGUGUCUGCUUCUGCUGUUUACAGUCGUCCCCGAUAUCUACAGGUGAUUGGUUCCAACUUCUCAUGGACACCAAACUCUGUAGGUGCUCAAGUUCCUUAUAAAAAAUGUCCCUACAGCCUUGCAACGUACCCCUAUACACUUUAGUUCAUCCCUAGGUUGCUCAUACUACCUAAUAGAUGUAGGUCCUCUAUAAGUAGCUGUCUGCUAUAUUGGACAGCACAGGCCUUGAUCCAUUCGGUGGUCUUAGACACAGGAACAAGAGAUUCAGACAGAGUGAGAUUCACAAACCUUGAAAUGUUGAAUCCACUCUGGUAGAGGAGCUAAUCUAACCGAUGCUUUUCCAUUCCAAUAGUGAGGAGGCUCCAAUGCCACUUAAUGCACUAUUAAAAUGUGUCUAAAAGUUGACUUUUCUCAAGAUUUACUAGAUGGGCAGAUGAGAGUCAGAGAGUCCAGCAGCUCCAAGCCCCCUCUUUUUGUGCUCGAGUUCGUCCAGACACAGUGCCCUUCCUAACCCUGCGUGUAUCACCCCACACAACAUCCAUGCAUCCAAGACACGCUGAGCAGCACACACACCUCUUCCAACCCCUUCUGAUGAGAUUUGAAGCAGGUUUCCCUCCUCGCUCCUGGGUUCCCAGGGUGGCGCACCAUGUCGAACAAGUCACCUGCUGCACUGUAAUCGUGUUGACAAGUUUCCCAUGGCAAAUUUGAUACGUCCUUGUUACUUUGUCCAGAAAAGGAAAACAGAGGGUCACCCGGAGGAAUCAAGCCUGAUCUGAAUUGAGGGGAAGCGAAGCAUGAAGGAGGAAGUGAACGAACUCCCCGAGUGUCGCUAAGAAACGUUUUUACGCAGCUGUGAACGCGUCUUCCUGUUUGCCAUCUAUUUGUUCUAAAGAAGAUGCCCAUUUGUCAGGAGGAGACUGCCAACAACCUACUCACGAUCUCCCACACUGGCCUCAGUUAUCACUGAGCAGGUACAGAAUGGGCACAUUUCACAUUCCGGGACAGUUUUUUAAAAGGUAAGUAUAAAAAUUAGUUGAGAAAGUACUUUUAAAAAACUAUACAAAUACAAAACAGUGUUCCUGUGGUUGUUCAUAAACUUAAAAAAGGAUCCAUUCGUGACAAUCUUGGAUGGCUGCUUUCAAGCACUGCCCCAUGAAAGAACUUUCUACCAACUGUGACAAUAAGGCUUUUGUCACGGAGAGUGUGGGCACCUCUUCCUCUUUCUAGAAGGGACGGAAAAUGUCCGAGACACUUCCAGUGGGUGAUGGGACUGGGCAGAGAGUGGCCGAGACAGCUCACUGUGCCUCCCUGCGAUGACGACUGGACCACAUGAGCUUCACUGUGAUAACGCAAAGGUUAACACAUAAGCUCUUGAAUUUGCAAUUAGAAAAGACAUUGAGACGGUGCACGCUCUUUUGUGUCUGGGACCGGUUUCUGUAGUGUGCCUUUGUGAAUCACAUCUUUGUAAGAGGGAAAAUCAAGAAAGGUAAAACGAAAAAGGAAUCUAGAAACUUCCGGCCCUCACCCCGCCCAGAACUCUGCUCCUUUCCAAGAUGUUCGGCUGAACGAGACCCUGACAAGCCUUGCGUGAGCAGGCGGGGCCCUCUCUGAGUUAGCAUUUUAAAUACUUUCUCAAAUUCCAUUUUAAAACUUGUGCCCUUGACUCCCAGGAAACUUCCCAGCAGCCCAGAUUUAAAACUCACCUCACUUUCUAGAAAUGGCUAAGUAUUUCCUGAAAAGAACCUCAAAAUUUGUUAAAUACUCUGCAGAUGUGAGGAUAUACCAUAAUAUGGAAUAUACCACAUACAUCUAAAAAUAGAAAGUCAUAAGCAAAAAAACAAACCAAACAGACAAAAAUACCCAAAGUCUUAUUUUCAAAGCAAAAUAUAUUCUGAAGGGAAAGAGAGAAAAGGCCUGUGGCCAGCUUUCCAAAGACACACAUCAACAUGGGCAAGGCCCUGGGUCCAAACCUCAGAAUCUCAGAAAGGAAAAAGCUGAUAUCGGGCAUGGUGAAGGAUGACUGUGACCCCAGCACUUGGGAGGCUGAGGCAGGAGGAUCACUAUGAGUCUGAGGCCAGGCUGGGC
Fukomys damarensis (Damara mole-rat) is the source of this 2896-nucleotide long non-coding RNA. RefSeq lists it as uncharacterized. The record is from RefSeq and is a predicted model, not a curated record. The transcript has 3 exons. NCBI's taxonomy places the organism in Eukaryota, Metazoa, Chordata, Mammalia, Rodentia, Bathyergidae.